Molecule: non-coding RNA, 46 nt
Organism: Schistosoma haematobium
Lineage: Eukaryota; Metazoa; Platyhelminthes; Trematoda; Strigeidida; Schistosomatidae
Source: Rfam
GCACUGCCGAGGAGUCCCACAAUAGAACGAAGUGGCCGUCCAGUGC